This 432-nucleotide ribosomal RNA is filed under the name uncultured bacterium. Its description in RNAcentral is "partial 16S ribosomal RNA". It matches the Rfam family "Bacterial small subunit ribosomal RNA", at positions 29 to 506 of the family's 1533-position model. The record is from RNAcentral.
AACGAACGCUGGCGGCAUGCCUAACACAUGCAAGUCGAACGAGACCUUCGGGUCUAGUGGCGCACGGGUGCGUAACGCGUGGGAACCUGCCCUUAGGUUCGGAAUAACUCCCCGAAAGGGGUGCUAAUACCGGAUAAUGUCUUCGGACCAAAGAUUUAUCGCCUUUGGAUGUGCCCGCGUUGGAUUAGCUAGUUGGUAGGGUAAAAGCCUACCAAGGCGACGAUCCAUAGCUGGUCUGAGAGGAUGAUCAGCCACACUGGGACUGAGACACGGCCCAGACUCCUACGGGAGGCAGCAGUGGGGACUAUUGGACAAUGCGCGAAAGACUGAGCCAGCCAUGCCGCGUGAGUGAUGAAGGCCUUAGGGUUGUAAAGCUCUUUUACCCGGCAUGAUAAUGACAGUACCGGGCGAAUAAGCUCCGGCUAAUUCCGU